GAACCUGCGGAAGGAUCAUUGUCGAGACCUGUUCUGAUUGAACGAUGAAACCGUGAUUCUGGUCGAGAGACGUGCGGUGCUUAGGCAGUUGCGCGGUCUCUUCGCUUCUCCCGCGUGCCGUUCUUGGCAUGCUGGGAUUACCCAACAACCGCAACGGCACGGGAAGUGCCAAGGAAGCGAAAGGUGGAAGUCUACCAGUGUGCGGAAGGGUGUGAUGCAGCAUCCCCGUGGUGCAUGGUAGGACUUUCUCGAAAUCGAGUUUGGAAAGACUCUCGGCAACGGAUAUCUAGGCCCUUGCAUCGAUGAAGAACGUAGCGAAAUGCGAUACUUGGUGUGAAUUGCAGAAUCCCGUGAACCAUCGAGUCUUUGAACGCAAGUUGCGCCCGAGGUCUCUGGGCCGAGGGCAUGCCUGCCUGGGCGUCAUGUACGCUGUCGCUUCAAGACACCCCUCCAGACAUCGAAGCAUGUAAAUCACGCGGAUGUGUCUUGCGGUAUUGUCUUGGAUGCGGAGACUGGCCUUCUGUGCGCAGGUGCGGUGGGCUAAACUUCGUGGCCUGAUUUGUGUUGAGGCACGACGGGUGGGUGAUGUGCCUGUUGCAUCCUGAUGCCCCUCGGUCGAGUUGCGUGUCGUGUCUCGUUCCAAUGUCCCAAGGGCCGAAGCCGCCUGAGCGUCUCUCGCUUCGAGCGAAGUGCUAGUCGCCGGCUAUUUGAAUGCGACCCCAGGUCAGGCCGGAUCACCCGCUGAGUUUAAGCAUAU
This 757-nucleotide ribosomal RNA is filed under the name Maundia triglochinoides. Its description in RNAcentral is "eukaryotic LSU rRNA". The stretch from base 268 to 423 matches the Rfam family "5.8S ribosomal RNA". Lineage: Eukaryota; Viridiplantae; Streptophyta; Magnoliopsida; Alismatales; Maundiaceae. The record is from RNAcentral.